GAGAGGCCAUUGUCGGGAUUGAUUAACAUCCACGUAUGAAGCACCUUCACAUGGACCCUCCAUGCAGAUUUGAAAGGCUUAAGAUCACUCAAGUUGCUGAUUUUGAUCAUGGAAUCCAUAAGGGAAGAUAACGAUAGACAGUUUGCAGGUUUAUUAAUGGUUGUUGCGGUGUGAUGAUUGUGAUAUUUAUAUAUUUGUGAUUGAUGGUAAAUUCUUAAGAUAGCGAUCCAUAUAAAAUCGUAUAUAAAUAGGAAUAAUUUAGGGAUAUACGUAUUCGAGAUAUACUAAGUUACAAAUCUUAUCCUUAUUAUUGUUUUCAAUGAUUAAAGUUGUUCAAAUUAGAUAAGAUAUGACAAUAUGCGAUUUUAGGCGAGUGUGUGCUUUUGAUUUGUUUAAUAAUAUAUUGUUAAAACCUGCAAAAAACGAUUUGCAAGUAGGAUAUGCCGAAUAUGUAUGAGAAGUUGUUUCGACACAUUUGUGAAAACAAAAAUAUUCAAACAAUUGUAGUCUGGUUAAACUAUGAACAUGUCAUUUUGCCGUUGGAAACUGAUGAUUGAUGUGAAACGAUUAUUUUAUAUGUGUAUACGUUGAUUAAACUAUAAGAAAAGAGGGUUUACUGCACUUUAUAGCAGAUAAUACAUGUUGUUUAAGUUUUGACAUCGAACACAGCAAUGCCACGAUAAAAUCUAUAAAUUUAAAAUAUUACUCAGGGCAAUUAUAUGGAUAAGAACUGAAUCUAAACUAAACAGCGUGAUUCUUUUUUAAAAAAUACGUUUUCGUUAAAAAAAUAAACCUUUAUAUUAAAAGCAUAGAUCAAAAAUAAUUCAGUGGCAAAGAAUGGUAAAUACUUCAAACUCCAAGGGUACCUCAAAAAAGGCUCCAUUUCUGGCGCUUUUCCUGGAUCAUAACAUUGUCAUGUUUAGGCUGAUACAUAUCAAGAGAGUUACCAUCAACAUGAAACCUAAAUACAAAAACAGCAUAAUUAGCAUAUUGUAAUCCAUUAGAAAUAAUAUAAUAUUAUAAUAAGAUGCACUUGCAUAUUUUUAAGUGCUUGCGCCUCCUUGAUAUCUGGGUUUAGUAACACCAAAGAAGAAUCAAAAGCAUUGGAGACUUGCAACUCUCCUGAUACAGAAAUCAAACAGAUGUUUAAAAUCUAACUUAAAAGUUUUUGAUCAUUAAACAAAUAUUUACAUAUUAAUGGUACAAUACCCUUGUAGUUUUCGAGUUUAGCAUAUCUGAUUAAACAAAUAUCUCCAUUGUUUGGUUGUUUAUUUUCUUGGGUCAUUAUUUCAGCUAUUUUCCCAGCAAUGCAGCAUUGAAGUCGGUUGUCGCUUAGAGAGUAAAUAAAUAAUGCAGAUUAGAAUUAAAAACUUACUUCAAGUUAUGUUUAAAAAAUACUUACUUGAUGUCUCUUAGAGUAAACUCCAUUUUGGUCACUUCUUUUCUUGCACACUGAACAAUAUCAAGACCACCAAAGUCUAAGACUUCACCAAUCACAUCUGUAACAUCAAAAGUUAGUUAUAUGAAGGUCGGAUUAUAGGUAAUAAACUAAUACAUCGCAUAAAAAUUAGAAGUUACCAAUAAAAAAACUUGUGUCAUGUGAACCAUUUUUAAUGUUAUCAAAUUGCUUUAGCUCGAGAAACAUGUUGUCACAGUGGAGAUUAGAAUCAGUUAUUAAAGUCUGACUCAUGAAUUCAAUCUUGUAAACAUGGUUGGUGUGUCUGUAAAGACCACAUACUGGACUUAAAGAAAAGUUAGUAAUAACUUUCCACUCUCCAACACGACAAUGUCUCUGGAAUAGCUGAAAUAAUGAUUGUUUGCAACUGGCCUGGAUUUUGACACCCUAAACCAUUAAAAAAAAUAACUGAAGUUCAUAUAUCAAGCGUAAUUAUAAUAGAAGAUAGGUAGUGAAUAUUACAUUUUCGUCUGUUAAGACCAUCUCAAGAUUCGAGAGGCCAUUGUCGGGAUUGAUUAACAUCCACGUAUGAAGCACCUUCACAUGGACCCUCCAUGCAGAUUUGAAAGGCUUAAGAUCACUCAAGUUGCUGAUUUUGAUCAUGGAAUCCAUAAGGGAAGAUAACGAUAGACAGUUUGCAGGUUUAUUAAUGGUUGUUGCGGUGUGAUGAUUGUGAUAUUUAUAUAUUUGUGAUUGAUGGUAAAUUCUUAAGAUAGCGAUCCAUAUAAAAUCGUAUAUAAAUAGGAAUAAUUUAGGGAUAUACGUAUUCGAGAUAUACUAAGUUACA
This 2243-nucleotide long non-coding RNA is filed under the name Brassica rapa (field mustard). Its description in RNAcentral is "long non-coding RNA (BRAP_LNC005275)". The record is from RNAcentral. Lineage: Eukaryota; Viridiplantae; Streptophyta; Magnoliopsida; Brassicales; Brassicaceae.